UACGUAUGGGGCAAGCGUUAUCCGGAUUUACUGGGUGUAAAGGGAGCGCAGGCGGCAAGGCAAGUCAGAAGUGAAAACCCGGGGCUCAACCCCGCGGAUUGCUUUUGAGACUGUUUAGCUGGAGUGCAGGAGGGGCAAGCGGAAUUCCUAGUGUAGCGGUGAAAUGCGUAGAUAUUAGGAAGAACACCGGUGGCGAAGGCGGCUUGCUGGACUGUAACUGACGCUGAGGCUCGAAGGCGUGGGGAGCA
Molecule: ribosomal RNA, 248 nt
Filed under: uncultured Lachnospiraceae bacterium
Lineage: Bacteria; Bacillati; Bacillota; Clostridia; Lachnospirales; Lachnospiraceae
Description: partial 16S ribosomal RNA
Rfam family: Bacterial small subunit ribosomal RNA
Source: RNAcentral